Molecule: ribosomal RNA, 301 nt
Filed under: uncultured bacterium
Lineage: Bacteria
Description: partial 16S ribosomal RNA
Rfam family: Bacterial small subunit ribosomal RNA
Source: RNAcentral
CAGUAGCCGCGGUAAAACGAAGGGGGCUAGCGUUGCUCGGAAUUACUGGGCGUAAAGGGCGCGUAGGCGGAUAGUUUAGUCAGAGGUGAAAGCCCAGGGCUCAACCUUGGAACUGCCUUUGAUACUGGCUAUCUUGAGUUCGGGAGAGGUGAGUGGAAUGCCGAGUGUAGAGGUGAAAUUCGUAGAUAUUCGGCGGAACACCAGUGGCGAAGGCGACUCACUGGCCCGAUACUGACGCUGUGGCGCGAAAGCGUGGGGAGCAAACAGGAUUAGAUACCCCCGUAGUCCCUGUCUCUUAUAC